UGAGGAAUAUUGGUCAAUGGACGCAAGUCUGAACCAGCCAAGUAGCGUGCAGGAUGACGGCCCUAUGGGUUGUAAACUGCUUUUAUAUGGGGAUAAAGUGGGGAACGUGUUCCCUUUUGCAGGUACCAUAUGAAUAAGGACCGGCUAAUUCCGUGCCAGCAGCCGCGGUAAUACGGAAGGUUCGGGCGUUAUCCGGAAUUAUUGGGUUUAAAGGGUGCGUAGGUUGCAAGGGAAGUCAGGGGUGAAAAGCUAUAGCUCAACUAUGGUCUUGCCUUUGAAACUCUCUAGCUGGAGUGUACUGGAGGUACGUGGAACGUGUGGUGUAGCGGUGAAAUGCGUAGAUAUCACACAGAACUCCGAUUGCGCAGGCAGCGUACUACGUUACAACUGACACUGAAGCACGAAAGCGUGGGUAUCAAACAGG
This 424-nucleotide ribosomal RNA is filed under the name Verrucomicrobiota bacterium. RNAcentral's name for it is "Verrucomicrobia bacterium partial 16S ribosomal RNA". It matches the Rfam family "Bacterial small subunit ribosomal RNA", at positions 355 to 776 of the family's 1533-position model. The record is from RNAcentral. Lineage: Bacteria; Pseudomonadati; Verrucomicrobiota.